This 532-nucleotide transfer RNA is filed under the name Pseudomonas syringae pv. aptata. RNAcentral's name for it is "partial 16S-23S ribosomal RNA intergenic spacer". The stretch from base 84 to 157 matches the Rfam family "tRNA". The record is from RNAcentral. Lineage: Bacteria; Pseudomonadati; Pseudomonadota; Gammaproteobacteria; Pseudomonadales; Pseudomonadaceae.
AUCGACGACUCAGCUGCACCAUAAGCACCCACACGAAUUGCUUGAUUCAUUGAAGAAGACGAUUAGAAGCAGCGCCCGAGUUCGGGUCUGUAGCUCAGUUGGUUAGAGCGCACCCCUGAUAAGGGUGAGGUCGGCAGUUCGAAUCUGCCCAGACCCACCAGUUUACUGGUGAGAUAGCUGGUCAGAGAGACGCCUCCACGGUAUGUAGAAAUACGGGGCCAUAGCUCAGCUGGGAGAGCGCCUGCCUUGCACGCAGGAGGUCAGCGGUUCGAUCCCGCUUGGCUCCACCACUUACUGCUUCUGUUUGAAAGCUUAGAAAUGAGCAUUCCACCCCGCAAGACAAGGGGUGCCUGAAUGUUGAUUUCUAGUCUUUGAUUAGAUCGUUCUUUAAAAAUUUGGGUAUGUGAUAGAAAGAAAUAUAGACCGGGCACCUCUUUCACUGGUGUGUGUCCGGGCUAAGGUAAAGUUUGUGAAAUGCAAACUUUCGGCGAAUGUCGUCUUCACAGUAUAACCAGAUUGCUUGGGGUUAUAU